UACGAAGGGGGUUAGCGUUGUUCGGAAUUACUGGGCGUAAAGCGCGCGUAGGCGGACCAGAAAGUUGGGGGUGAAAUCCCGGGGCUCAACCCCGGAACGGCCUCCAAAACUCCUGGUCUUGAGUUCGAGAGAGGUGAGUGGAAUUCCGAGUGGUAGAGGUGAAAUUCGUAGAUAUUCGGAGGAACACCAGUGGCGAAGGCGGCUCACUGGCUCGAUACUGACGCUGAGGUGCGAAANUGUGGGGAGCAAACAUU
This 254-nucleotide ribosomal RNA is filed under the name uncultured bacterium. RNAcentral describes it as "partial 16S ribosomal RNA". It matches the Rfam family "Bacterial small subunit ribosomal RNA", at positions 524 to 776 of the family's 1533-position model. The record is from RNAcentral.